This is a long non-coding RNA of Leucoraja erinaceus (little skate), 7262 nucleotides long. RefSeq lists it as uncharacterized. The record is from RefSeq and is a predicted model, not a curated record. Lineage: Eukaryota; Metazoa; Chordata; Chondrichthyes; Rajiformes; Rajidae. The transcript is spliced from 4 exons.
CCUCGCGACGCCCGCAGCCGUUGAUAACUACCAGCUGACAACAGCCCUUUAAAGCCGCUAAGGCAAGACGCGUUCGCCCAGGAGCGAGCAUUCACAGCAAAGAAGCACCGGCUUCUGACUCUCCUGAAACCCACAGCUGGAAUGAGCGCGCGGGGGAUGGGAGGGGCGAACAGGGCUUCGCGAGCUGCGCCGGCUGUGAGGAGAAAGUUCAGCGGAACUUACGUGGAAAAAUUCAGCGCGUGAGGAGUCGCUGCCCCGAGAUCUGUAGAACAAAGAAGCUACAGCAGAACGCAGCUGUAGAAUCUUUGUUCUGCAGAACUUUCUUGAUGUUUCUGCGCCUUUAAUCCACAGCAGCCGGGGCGGGGCCAGGACGCAGGUGGGCCUGGAUUGGUCAGCAUGUGGGCAUUGUGACGUCAGCAGCUGAUGGAUGGUUGUCUGACACAAUCCACCCCGACAGCCUUCGGUAUGCCUGGCCUCAUGGUCACUGUCGAAGAAGUCCAAUCAGCCUUCCUGAGAGUGCACCUGCAGAAAGCAACAGACACAAAUGGAGUGCCCAGCCAGGUCCUCGGGACUUGCACAAAUCAACUGGUAUUCAGUUUUGAUGAAGGAUCUCAGAUGUGAAACAUUAAUUGGAGACACAAGAGACUGGAAUCUUGGGGGAAAAAAAUAGGAACAGCAGGUCGGGCAGUAUCUGUGGAGGAAAUUAGUAGAUUAUGUUUUGGGUCAGUACCAUUCACCAGUCUGAACACAAGCCCAUCCUCCUCAAUGGAGCUGCUGUAGAGAUGGUUGAAAGCUGAGCACCCAUAUCUGGACUUGACCUGGUCCCUUCACACUGAUGUGGUGAUCAAGAAAGUGCAUCACCAUAUUUACUCUCUUUAACAUCAGAGAUUCAGCAUGUCCACGAGGAUUUCCUCGAAUAUCGUCGGAUGCACUAUAGAAGGUAUUCUAUCGGGAUACGUCUCAGCCUGGUAUGGCAAUUGCUCUGCUCUUGACCUACACCUGCAGACUGGUGAACUCAGCCAAGUCCAUCGCAGAUUCAUCACUUCCUUCCAUGCAGUCUAUCUUAAUGGCACAUUGCAUCAGGAAUGUUUGGAGUAUCAAGGAUGUCAAUCUUCUGGCUAUUCACAUGUAUCUCUGUUCUACCUUCUAGGAGAUGAUACAGAUGCUUGAAAGCCCGGAUGUCCAUACUUAAAAACAGCUGAUUUUCCACUGCUAUCAGACUCCUGAACAAAUCACCCCUUUCACACCCCUUCCAAGAGGUGUCACCACAUACUCUUAGCUUUAGCUCAUUUGGUACUCUGUAUUGUACUUUUGGGUUUUUUUGCAUUAUAAUCUGUGCAUCACUCUGCUGCUUUGCAUUUGUUGGUGUAUUUAUCAUUACCAUGUAUGUGUUCUCUAUGAGCUUCAUGCUAACAAGGAAUUUCAUUGCAUCCAUGCUCAGGAUCUCAAAUAUUUUAACAGCACUCAACUUCCCUGUCACUUUCAAAGAUUUCUGUACAUAUAAUUGUCCAAAAGGUUGUGUUCUCGCACAUCCUUUAGAACUGUGCCAUUUAGCCCACAUUGCUUCAACUUGCUCUUUCAGCCAAAUUGUAUCAUUUUACAAUAUCUGUAUUAAAUUUAAUCUGCUAGCACACUGCAGUCUCCUACUAUUAUCUUCACCACUUGCCACACCUUAAAAUGGUCUGAAGAUUUUGAAACUUUAUCCCACACAUCCAUGUUCAAAUCAUUAACAUUCAUCAAAGCAGCAUUGAUCCCUGGAUAACACCACUGUUUUCCAUCCUUUCGGCUGUUGUCAUUAAGCCAAUUUUUAUGCAUGCUGCCAUUUAACAUUUAUUCUAUGGGGCUCAGCUUUGUUUACUAACUGUUUGCAGCAGACAUUGUAAAAUACCUUCUGAAAAGCAUACUGACAACAUCUACAGGGUUUCCUCCAUGUAUCUUUCAUGUGGGUCUGAGAUUCAGGGCAAUGCUGCUCAAAAUCUUGCAGUGACCUACACUACUCCUAGGGCUGAAGAAUCAGCUUCUUUGGUCCCUUGCAUCUGACCUAGGUGGAUCAUGGGGAAAUGCAGCUCAUUUUGACACUUACUUCUCCCACAAAAGACUUAUGUGCAUACAGUGGUGCAGCGGUAGAGUUGCCGUCUUACAACCCGAAGACCCGGGAUCGAUCCCGACAAUGGCUGCUGUCUGUACGGAGUUUGUACAUUCUACCCGUGACCUGCGUGGGUUUUCUCCGAGAUCUUCGGUUUCCUCCCACACUCCAAAGACAUACAGAACCCUCUGCGUAGGAAGGAACUGCAGAUACUGGUUUAAACCAAUGAUAGACACAAAAUGCUGGAGUAACUGCGGGACAGGCAGCAUCUCUGGAGAGAAGAAAUCCGUGAUAUUUCGGGUCGAGACCCUUCUUCAGACUGGUUGUCAGACCCUCUGCUUUCUAUUUGCAACAUCUUUAAAUUUAAAGUCAUAGAGUGAUACAGUGUGGAAACAGGCCCUUCAGACCAACUUGCCCACACCCGCCAACAUGUCCCAGCUACACUCAUCCCACCUGCUUGUGCUUGGUCCAUAUCCCUCCAAACUUGACCUAUCCACGUACCUGUCUACACAAUACACAAUACAAUUUAUUUGUCACUUGAACCUCAUAGAGGCUCAAAUGAAAUGUUGUUUCUGCAGUCAUACACACAUGAAAAAAAAAGACCCAAGACACAACACAAUGUACAGACAUCCAUCACAGCGCAUCUCCUCCUCGCUGUGAUGGAAGGCAAAAAAAAACUUAUCUCUCCGUUGGGAUAGUCCCAACCUCAACUACCUCCUCUGGCAGCUUGUUCCAUAAACCCACCACCUUUAGUGUGAAAAAGUUACCACUCAGAUUCCUAUUAAAUAUUUUCCCCUUCAACUUGAACCUAUGUCCUCUGGUCCUCGAUUCCCCCAAGAGAUUCUGUGCAUUUACCCGAUUCUUUCCUCUCAUGAUUUUAUACACCUCUAUAAGAUCACCCCUCAUCCUCCUGCGCUCCAAGGAAUAUGAGCUCCAGCCUACUCAACCUCUCCCUAUAGCACAGACCCUCUAGUCCUAGCAACAUCCUCGUAAAUCUUUUCUGAACCUUUUCAAGCUUGACAAUAUCUUUCCUAUAAUAUGGUGCCUAGAACUGAACACAAUUGUUUUUUGUUGGGUUUUAAAGUAACAACAAAUACUGAACAGAUUUAUUUAGAGGCAAAAAAUUACGAGUUUAUGGCUAAUCUCUUGAUUCUUCAAUACACAGCAUAGAUCGUAGUAAAGGCACCAUUAGUGAUCAUAAUAUUAUGUUUUAAUACACAAUUUGAGAGGGAGAAGGGAUAAUUCAAAGUGUCAGCAUUACAGUUGAACAAAGGGGAAUAUGGAGCCAUGAGGUAGGAGCUGGCCAAAGCUGACUGGAAAGAUACCCUAGCAGGGAUGACAGUGGAACAACAAUGGCAGGCAUUUCUGGGAAUAAAACAGAAGGUGCAGGAUCAGUUCAUUCCAAAGAGGAAGUAAGAUUCCAAGGGGAAUAAGGGGUGACCGUGGCUGACAAAGGAAGUCAAGGACAGUAUAAAAAAUAAAAGGGAAGAUGAGUGAGAAGUCAGAGGAUUGGGUAAAUUUUAAAGAGCAACGGAAGAUAACAAAAAAGCCAAUACAGGGAGAAAAGACGAGGUACGAAGGUAGGUUAGCCAAGAAUAUAAAGGAGGAUAGUAAAAGCGUCUUUAGGUAUGUGAAGAGGAAAAAAAUAGUUAAGACCAAAGUUGGACCCUUGAAGACUGAAACAGGUGAAUUUAUUAUGGGGAACAAGGAAAUGGCAGACGAGUUGAACAGGUACUUUGGAUCCGUCUUCACCAAGGAAGACACGAACAAUUUCCCUGAUGUACUAGUGGCCAGAGGAUCUAGGGUGACGGACGAACUGAAGGAAAUUCACAUUAGGCAGGAAAUAUUGUUGCGUACACUGAUGGAACUGAAGGCUGAUAAAUCCCCAAGGCCUGAUGGUCUGCAUCCCAGGGUACUUAAGGAAGUGACUCUAGAAAUCAUGGACGCAUUGGUGAUCAUUUCCCAAUGUUCUAUAGAUUCAGGAUCAGUUCCUGUGGAUUGGAGGGUAGCUAAUGUUAUCCCACUUUUUAAGAAAGGCGGGAGAGAGAAAACAGGGAAUUAUAGACGUUAGCCUGACAUCAGUGGUGGGGAAGAUGCUAGAGUCAAUUAUAAAAGAUGAAAUAGCGGCACAUUUUGAAAGCAGUAACAAGAUUGGUCCGAGUCAGCAUGGAUUUACAAAGGGGGAAAUCAUGCUUGACUAAUCUUCUGGAAUUUUUUGAGGAUGUAACUAGGAAAAUGGACAAGGGAGAACCAGUGGAUGUAGUGUACCUGGACUUUCAGAAAGCAUUUGAUAAAGUCCCACAAAGGAGAUUAGUGGACAAAAUUAGAGCAUAUGGUAUUGGGGAUAGGGUACUGACAUGGAUGGAAAAUUGGUUGGCAGGCAGGGGUACAAAGAGUAAGGAUUAACGGGUCCCUUUCAGAAUGGCAGGCAGUGACUAGUGGGGUACCGCAAGGCUCGGUGCUGGGACUGCAGCUAUUUACAAUAUACAUCAAUGAUUUAGAUGAAGGGAUUCAAAGUAAUAUCAGCGAAUUUGCAGAUGACCCUAAGCUGGGUGGCAGUGUGAACUGUGAGGAGGAUACUAUGAGAAUGCAGAGUGACUUGGACCGGUUAGGUGAGUGGGUGGAUGCAUAGUAGAUGCAGUUUAAUGUGGAUAAAUGUGAGGUGGCAAACACAGGAAGGCAGAUUAUUGUCUGAAUGGUGUCAAGUUGGGGAAAUGGUAAGUACAAAGAGACCUGGGGGUCCUGGUUCAUCACUCACUGAAAGUAAGCAUGCACUACAGCUGGCAGUGAAGAAAGCAAAUGGCAUGUUGGUCUUGUUAACAAGAGGAGUUGAGCAUAGGAGUAAAGAGGCCCUUCUGCAGUUGUACAGGGCCCUAGUGAGACCUCACCUGGAGUACAGGGUGCAAUUGUGGUCACCAUAUUUGAGGAAGGACAUUCUUGCUAUUGAGGGCGUUGCAGCGUAGGUUCACUGUUAAUUGCCGGGGUGGCGGGACUGUCAUAUGUUAAUAGGAUGGAGCAGCUGGGCUUGUAUACUCUGGAAUUUAGAAGAAUGAGGGGAUCUCCUUACCAUGGAGGACUUACACAGUUCCCGCUGCACCAAAAAAUCCCAGAGUAUCAUAAAGGACAUUUCCCACCCCGGACACUCCCUGUUUGAACUGUUGCCGUCAGGCAGACGGCACAGAUCUACAAGGACAAGGAUUGUGAAGACCGCCAGCAGGAUUAUUGGUGCUCCACUCCCUUUCCUGCUGGACAUAUACAGGAAGAGAUGUAUCAGCAGAGCCAUCUCCAUCAUCAAAGACCCCUACAACCCAUCGCAUCACAUAUUCUCCAUCCUGCCAUCUGGGAGGAGGUACAGGAGCAUUAGCUGCAAAACCAGCAGGAUGCUCCUCAGCUUCUUCCCACAGGCUAUUAGCCUGCUAAACGGAUUUUGCCCCCGCCAAAGUAUCGCGCACCAACCACCAACCUGGACACACUGCAGCAGAGCCACUGUCGUGCCGCUGCCGAUCGGAACGCCUGUUGAAUGUUUAGUAGAGUGUUAAAUUUGUUCAUGAUAUAUGUAUUUUUAUUUCUAUUUAUUUUUUAAUACACACUGAAUGGACACUGGUUGAGCAACGUUUUUUUUGUUUCCUCUGGGUAUGUGAAUACUCAGGAAAUGACAAUAAAGAUAUACAAUACAAUACAAUACAAUACGAACAGACUAAAAAACAGUUUUUACCCCACUGCUAUAAAAGCACUAAAUGUAGCCGCCAAGGAAUGCAGGGGCGAUACAUACUAAGGGAAUGUGGUACAUUGUGAAAUCGACAGAAGGAUGGAGGGUUGGGUGUUUAUGCGGGCUAUUUUCGUGAUAUUUAUUUUAGUUGUUUAUCUUUUAAUAUUUUAUCUUGUAUGUAUCGUUAGCUUUUAGAAAUGUUUGAAUGGUGCACUGACUGGCUGACAUUUUUAAAUUUCGUUGUACAUGGUUCAUGUUACAAUGACAAUAAAGAAACUAUUCUAUUCUAUCUUAUUAUAACAUAUGAUUAUUAAGGGAUUGGACGUGCUAGAGGCAGAAAACAUGUUCCCGAUGUUGGGGGAGUCCAGAACCAGGGGCCACAGUUUAAGAAUAAGGGGGAGGCCAUUUAGAACGGAGAUGAGGACAAACUUUUUUUACUCAUAGUUGUGAAUCUGUGGAAUUCUCUGCCUCAGAAGGCAGUGGAAGCCAAUUCUGUGGAUGCUUUCAAGAGAGAGUUAGAUAGCUCUUAAAAAUAGAGUCAGGAGAUAUGGUGAGAAGGCAGGAACGAGGUACUGAAUGUGGAUGAUCAGCCAUGAUCACAGUGAAUGGCAGUACUGGCUCGAAGGGCCGAAUGGCCUAUUCCUGCACCUAUUGUCUAUUGUAGUCUCCCAACGCAAAAAUGUUGUCAGAAAAUACUCCAGAGUUUAGCGCAGCAGCGUCGCUGGAAGUAUGUGUCCGAGUGUCGUCGGCUGCAGCAAAGUUAAAAAAUAAAAAUAGAUACUUCUAUAUUGUUGUGCCUAAUAGAAAGAGAUGGAUGCAAGAUGCUUAUUUUGUCUUUCUAAAAUUAAGCAUUAACUUUUAUAACCGCGUUCUUCAUAAUGUAAACAUGAGUGGGAGCGCUGAUGCAAUUGCGAAGGCCGUUUCAUUUUCACAGCAGCCACAAUACGUUUUACUUUGACAUAAUUCCAUGAAGAGCAAAAUCAUCUCACAUUCAGGACAUUGUCUAUACGUGAUGCGUUUAACAUGGUUCCAAAAUAACUUUCUGUUCACAGUCCUCGGUUUUACAGGCCACAUGAGAUGGGGAGGGAAGCAGCUCUUGGAGCUCGGAUAUGACAAUAAUCUAUCAACUACCAAAACUUUAUAUCGCUCGCUUUCGUCAUUGUUUCCAGUACACGUUUGGAUAAAAUGUGCUCUUAAGAGAUCCAAGUGAUGUGCGCAGCAAAGUGAACUUCGAAAGACAAAGAUAAUUUGGUAUCCUAAUUUCUCUAUUCCUGACGCUUGCAUAUCCUCCGUUCAAUCAACAUGCUCGAUUAGCAUGGCUCUGACCUUUGCAUUGCUAUAGACCUAUUGGACACCGACUAUCGAUUAAAAUAGCUUAUGUUUGGGGUUUUCGUGGAAAUAAGAACCCACAGCCCACACCUUGGAGCAUACGUGACCAACAAACGCUGCGUAUUUGCCACUGUGUGG